ACAUCAAGACUAAAGGAAGAAGAGAGAGAGUACAGCCUUAGCUCUGUCUAUCUACGAUCUUUUAUAUAUUUGAGUUUAAUCAAGGCUGUACCCUCUCUCUUCUUCUCUUAGCUUCUCGAUGC
Molecule: microRNA precursor, 122 nt
Filed under: Leersia perrieri
Lineage: Eukaryota; Viridiplantae; Streptophyta; Magnoliopsida; Poales; Poaceae
Description: pre miRNA MIR529
Rfam family: MIR529 microRNA precursor family
Source: Rfam by way of RNAcentral